RNAcentral lists this transfer RNA (72 nucleotides) under Coccothraustes coccothraustes (hawfinch). RNAcentral's name for it is "tRNA-Glu". The record is from RNAcentral. Lineage: Eukaryota; Metazoa; Chordata; Aves; Passeriformes; Fringillidae.
GUUCUUGUAGUUAAAUUAUUUUAACGAUGGUUUUUCAGACCAUAGUUCUUGGAGAGAGGCCGAGCAGGAAUA